UUCUUCGGGGUAGGGUGUAAGUCCCAACCGGCGGUAAAAGUCCGCGACCCGCUUCGGCGGCUGAUCCGGUGUGAUUCCGGAACCGACAGUACAGUCUGGAUGAGAGAAGAA
This 111-nucleotide non-coding RNA is filed under the name uncultured Sellimonas sp. RNAcentral describes it as "FMN riboswitch (RFN element)". It matches the Rfam family "FMN riboswitch aptamer (RFN element)". From Rfam's summary of the family: The RFN element is a highly conserved domain that is found frequently in the 5'-untranslated regions of prokaryotic mRNAs that encode for flavin mononucleotide (FMN) biosynthesis and transport proteins. The record is from RNAcentral. Lineage: Bacteria; Bacillati; Bacillota; Clostridia; Lachnospirales; Lachnospiraceae.